RNAcentral lists this ribosomal RNA (82 nucleotides) under Candidatus Rifleibacteriota bacterium. Lineage: Bacteria; Candidatus Rifleibacteriota. The record is from RNAcentral.
CAUUCCGAACUCGGAAGUUAAGCCUGGACACGCCGAUGGUACUACGUGGGCAGCUGCGUGGGAGAGUAGGUCGCCGCCAAGA